RNAcentral lists this ribosomal RNA (380 nucleotides) under uncultured eukaryote. Its description in RNAcentral is "partial 18S ribosomal RNA". It matches the Rfam family "Eukaryotic small subunit ribosomal RNA", at positions 592 to 976 of the family's 1831-position model. The record is from RNAcentral.
CAAUAGCGUAUAUUAAAGUUGCUGCAGUUAAAAAGCUCGUAGUUGCAUUUCCGAGGCAAGGGAUUAGUCCGACCUUUGGUGGGUAUUUAAUCCUCUUGCCUCGUCCUUGAGUGGUGCUUCUUGGUAUUAAGUUAUCGAGGAGAUAGCCGCUCAUCGUUUACUGUGAGAAAAUUAGAGUGUUCAAAGCAGGCUUAUGCCGUUGAAUAUAUUAGCAUGGAAUAAUAAGAUAGGACCUCGGUACUAUUUUGUUGGUUUGAGAACCAAGGUAAUGAUGAAUAGGGACAGUUGGGGGUAUUCGUAUUCAGUUGUCAGAGGUGAAAUUCUUAGAUUUACGGAAGACGAACUACUGCGAAAGCAUUUACCAAGGAUGUUUNCAUUAG